AUUGAACGCUGGCGGCAGGCCUAACACAUGCAAGUCGAGCGGAUGAAGGGAGCUUGCUCCUGGAUUCAGCGGCGGACGGGUGAGUAAUGCCUAGGAAUCUGCCUGGUAGUGGGGGAUAACGUCCGGAAACGGGCGCUAAUACCGCAUACGUCCUGAGGGAGAAAGUGGGGGAUCUUCGGACCUCACGCUAUCAGAUGAGCCUAGGUCGGAUUAGCUAGUUGGUGGGGUAAAGGCCUACCAAGGCGACGAUCCGUAACUGGUCUGAGAGGAUGAUCAGUCACACUGGAACUGAGACACGGUCCAGACUCCUAGGGGAGGCAGCAGUGGGGAAUAUUGGAAAAUGGGCGAAAGCCUGAUCCAGCCAUGCCGGGUGUGUGAAGAAGGUCUUCGGAUUGUAAAGCACUUUAAGUUGGGAGGAAGGGCAGUAAGUUAAUACCUUGCUUUUUUGACGUUACCAACAGAAUAAGCACCGGCUAACUUCGU
Molecule: ribosomal RNA, 483 nt
Filed under: uncultured bacterium
Lineage: Bacteria
Description: partial 16S ribosomal RNA
Rfam family: Bacterial small subunit ribosomal RNA
Source: RNAcentral